Molecule: ribosomal RNA, 706 nt
Filed under: uncultured bacterium
Lineage: Bacteria
Description: bacterial SSU rRNA
Rfam family: Bacterial small subunit ribosomal RNA
Source: RNAcentral
UGCAAGCCGAGCGGUAGGGUUUCUUCGGAAACCUGAGAGCGGCGCACGGGUGCGGAACACGUGUGCAACCUACCUUUAUCAGGGGGAUAGCCUUUCGAAAGGAAGAUUAAUACCCCAUAAUAUAUUAGAUGGCAUCAUUUGAUAUUGAAAACUCCGGUGGAUAGAGAUGGGCACGCGCAAGAUUAGAUAGUUGGUGAGGUAACGGCUCACCAAGUCAGUGAUCUUUAGGGGGCCUGAGAGGGUGAUCCCCCACACUGGUACUGAGACACGGACCAGACUCCUACGGGAGGCAGCAGUGAGGAAUAUUGGACAAUGGGUGAGAGCCUGAUCCAGCCAUCCCGCGUGAAGGAUGACGGCCCUAUGGGUUGUAAACUUCUUUUGUAUAGGGAUAAACCUUUCCACGUGUGGAAAGCUGAAGGUACUAUACGAAUAAGCACCGGCUAACUCUGUGCCAGCAGCCGCGGUAAUACGGAGGGGGCUAGCGUUGUUCGGAAUUACUGGGCGUAAAGCGCACGUAGGCGGCUUUGUAAGUUAGAGGUGAAAGCCUGGAGCUCAACUCCAGAAUUGCCUUUAAGACUGCAUCGCUUGAACGUCGGAGAGGUGAGUGGAAUUCCGAGUGUAGAGGUGAAAUUCGUAGAUAUUCGGAAGAACACCAGUGGCGAAGGCGGCUCACUGGACGACUGUUGACGCUGAGGUGCGAAAGCGU